RNAcentral lists this ribosomal RNA (497 nucleotides) under uncultured bacterium. RNAcentral describes it as "partial 16S ribosomal RNA". It matches the Rfam family "Bacterial small subunit ribosomal RNA", at positions 28 to 507 of the family's 1533-position model. The record is from RNAcentral.
GAUGAACGCUGGCGGCGUGCCUAAUACAUGCAAGUCGAGCGAACAGACGAGGAGCUUGCUCCUCUGACGUUAGCGGCGGACGGGCGAGUAACACGUGGAUAACCUACCUAUAAGGCUGGGAUAACUUCGGGAAACCGGAGCUAAUACCGGAUAAUAUAUUGAACCGCAUGGUUCAAUAGUGAAAGACGGUUUUGCUGUCACUUAUAGAUGGAUCCGCGCCGCAUUAGCUAGUUGGUAAGGUAACGGCUUACCAAGGCAACGAUGCGUAGCCGACCUGAGAGGGUGAUCGGCCACACUGGAACUGAGACACGGUCCAGACUCCUACGGGAGGCAGCAGUAGGGAAUCUUCCGCAAUGGGCGAAAGCCUGACGGAGCAACGCCGCGUGAGUGAUGAAGGUCUUCGGAUCGUAAAACUCUGUUAUUAGGGAAGAACAAAUGUGUAAGUAACUAUGCACGCCUUGACGGUACCUAAUCAGAAAGCCACGGCUAACUACGUG